CAGUAGCCGCGGUAAUACGUAGGUGGCAAGCGUUGUCCGGAAUUAUUGGGCGUAAAGGGCUCGCAGGCGGUUUCUUAAGUCUGAUGUGAAAGCCCCCGGCUCAACCGGGGAGGGUCAUUGGAAACUGGGAAACUUGAGUGCAGAAGAGGAGAGUGGAAUUCCACGUGUAGCGGUGAAAUGCGUAGAGAUGUGGAGGAACACCAGUGGCGAAGGCGACUCUCUGGUCUGUAACUGACGCUGAGGAGCGAAAGCGUGGGGAGCGAACAGGAUUAGAGACCCCGGUAGUCCCUGUCUCUUAUAA
Molecule: ribosomal RNA, 301 nt
Filed under: uncultured bacterium
Lineage: Bacteria
Description: partial 16S ribosomal RNA
Rfam family: Bacterial small subunit ribosomal RNA
Source: RNAcentral